CCGCCUCUUCCCGGCGCAUGCGCGGCGGGGAGGGAGACGGGCGCGCGGUGCUGCGUGUGUGAGGGUGCGGGCUGGCGGCGCGGCGGGAGGGGGAGGAUCUAUCAUGGCGUCCAUGCAGAAAAGAUUACAAAAAGAACUAUUGGCAUUGCAAAAUGAUCCACCUCCAGGAAUGACUCUAAAUGAGAAGAGCGUGCAAAACUCAAUUACACAGUGGAUUGUAGACAUGGAAGGUGCUCCAGGAACGCUAUAUGAAGGGGAGAAAUUUCAGCUUCUAUUUAAGUUCAGUAGCCGAUAUCCUUUUGAUUCGCCUCAGGUCAUGUUUACUGGUGACAAUAUUCCUGUUCAUCCACAUGUUUAUAGCAAUGGUCAUAUCUGUUUGUCCAUUCUAACAGAAGACUGGUCUCCAGCUCUCUCAGUGCAAUCUGUUUGUCUUAGCAUUAUUAGCAUGCUUUCCAGCUGCAAAGAAAAGGUCUUUUUUUCUGUUGCAGAGGCGACCUCCGGAUAACUCAUUUUAUGUAAGAACAUGUAACAAGAAUCCAAAGAAAACAAAAUGGUGGUAUCAUGAUGACACAUGUUGAUGCCACCAUUUUGUGAUCCUCGUAGCAGAAGAUAGUCCUACUGAGAAAAUGAGCACUUUGAUCAUUCAGUCUUUGAACUUUAACCUUUGACUGGAAGUGACCUAUAGGCAAAGAAGACUACUUCCUUUGACUGCAUUUUUACUAGUGUGCAUUCUGGGCGCAUGUUGAUCGCUGGUUCAGUCCAUGCAACUGACAUGCUUUUAUUAGUCAUACAGUAUUAAUGCAGGUGUCCAGAAAUGUCAGAAUAAUUCCAUUAUUUUUAUUUUAAGCUUUUGGAAGAAUUCCAGGUCUUCAUAUAUUGUGCAAUAACACUGAACUCCUUGGCGGUUUUGGUGCAUCCAUUGCCGGCAAUGGACAUUGUACCAGGGAAAGGUUUUGCUCCUGCCACAAAAAGAUUGAUGCGUAAUAGAACUUAGGAAAGUUUCAGAUAUUUGAAUUAUAAGCAAGGGAUCUACCUUUACCUUAAAAGCCACCCCAUUCUUUUGUAUUUGGAUUCUAUGCACUGUGAUCACAAAACUAGCAGCAUGAGUUAACAUGCUUAGCUGAAGGACUGUAAUAAGAUCAUUGCAUAUUUAUUAAAUUGUUUGUCUGCUGUCAAAUUGUUUUGACAUGGAAGGUUUUUCAAGUGACAUUGGCAGGGAGGUACAAUGUUAUCCCUAUGGUGAAAUAAAACUACUUUUUGUAUAUAGUUAUUCAUAUCUCUGAAGCAAAGGUAUGAGUAAUUUAGGGUAUGAAUGAUUUAAUCAAGAAUUUAUUUUGGAGAUAAGAGAGGAUGGCAGUGAUAUAAACUGAACUUGCUGCAGUCCAUAAUUGGGCUUGUAAUUUGUACUUUAGAGCUUUUUCCAAAUAGAUUGCACACUGUUAUUUCCUGCUAGCCAUCAGCAUGAGCCCUACUGCCUACACCAAUAUUUCAUUUAUUUAUGUGUUUGAAAGAAAUCAUAUAACAUUUUUGUUUGCAUUCACUGUUUCUUUUGUUGUUGUAUGUCAUGUUUGAAUGUUACAAAAUAUUUUGAUUGAAAAGCUUUGUCAGAAGAUAUUUUCAUGUAAAUUAUUUCUUUACCUUGUAAGCAUCAUCUUGUCUUUUAAUCCUGUACUAUAAAAAGAAAAAAAAAAUACAUUUUUGACAGAGGCUUAAUGUUUUGACAAAAAAGUGUGGACCUUCUUAUUUAAGUUUAGACUAAAUUAUAUUUUCUUAUCUUGCUUGUCCCUCACAACCAUUAUGUUUUGUUUUGUUUUUCUUCCAGGCUUUUACUUCACCCCUUCCUUCCCCUCUCCCCUCCCCCCCAAAAAGAAAAAGAUGAAAAAGCCUAAAACCAGAUUGAUGUAUUUUCUAUGGAGCAACAUUUUAUUGAAAUAGAUAGUUGUUCUCACCACUCUGUAAUAUUUUGAUACUUCAAUUAGGUUAUCUUUUUAGGAAGCACUUUUAUAAACUUAAUACCUUUACACGUAUGCAAAAUUUCUAUGACUUUUUUUUUUUUACUGUUGCCUUAUUGUUGCACUCAAAAAUAAAGAAUCAAGUGGUCAAUAUGUGAAUGUUUAGAUGAAGCAACUACUUGAUUAAAAAUGAAACAAAACCAGAAAAUUAACAGUGACACAACCCAGAAAGAAUAACUAGAAAAAGAAACAAACAAAAUUGGCUGAUAGUACUGAAUUUUGUAACUGCUGUAUAAUAACUGACAAAUUUUAUAGCCUUGUACAUACUUCUCUGUUAUCUAAUGUUCAAAAAAUUUUUACAAAUCACAGAAGCAUAACUCAGGGUGGAUAGAGUUCAAAUGGAUUUGCUUGGGAGAAGUAUUUUGUACAGCAAUUAUUGAUAUUGUCAGUGAAGUGAGGCUAUGAUAUACUUCAGGAACUGCUAUUUUUUCUACUGUAUUGAAAAUAUCUCUUGGCCUUUAAAACUCUAAAAUGGUAAAAUCUAUAUAAAUUUGAUGUGUGUGUAUAUACUUUCACAAAGAGCCUUUAAAAUCUAGAAUUCAGAUUCUUUUAAGAGCCAAAAAUAAUCAUUUUAAGCAAAUGAAAUAGUUGUGCUCCUAACUUUUUAUUUAGAUAAAUUUUAUUGCUUUAAGUUAAUCAAAUCUGUUAUUUUUGGAAAUGUUUCAUAUGAAUGAGCAGUGAUCUGAAUAUUUAAGCUGUAUAUUCUUGUUAACUGCUCUUUAUUAUUGAUUGAAAGGAUUGUCACAUCUUUGAGAAAUUCAUGUAUUUUCAUACAACUGAUCCAGGUAACGGAUCCUUUCAGAUAGCCCACAGUGAAGAGACCUUAUCUCGAUACAAGGUAACGUGUCUGAAGAAAUGGUUAAAGCGCAUCUUCUCAGAUACUUAAACCUUUCCCUGUGCUGGAUUGCCAUUCUACAAUACAUGAUUUCAAAGAAGCUUUAUGACAUACUGUAUGUAUUCUUGUUGGAGAUGUAACUCAAAGCAUUAUGGUUUUUUUUGAUCUUUGCUAUCGCGUGGACUACGAUGAAGUUAACUAAAUUUAUGCUGCUCUUUAAUGAAAUCCUCUAUAAUAAGAGAAAAAUCCAAGGUAGAUUGGAGUUUACCUCAAGUCUUUUAGUUUACAGUAGAAAUGCAUUCAUUGGUUCUCUUGUAGAUCUGUUGGUAAGCUCUCCUAUAUACAGAGGGCAAGGACAAGGCCUAUAUACCACUCGAGCCCUCAAAAUAAUGCAACUAUUCUGACAGUGCUAUGGUGGGGGGUUUAAAUUAGAUGAAGCUGAUGCCAUCCUUUCCAUAGGGUGACCCUGUGUAUGUAACUUUCUCUCACUCGGAGUUUCUCACAUGAAAUGGUUACAGAAUUGGCUUGAAAUGAUCUUGCUUUUAUCUUGUGUCAAUGUUAAUGUUGUUAAACACUUUGUUUUUGUGUUUAGUGUCUUUAUACUAUAACACAAUAAAUUCUUGUUUUAAAAUAGAUUACUACCCUUGAAUAUAAGUACGCGUGGACCUUUUCAUGGUGGAGUGCAGGAGCGUUGUGCAUUACGUUCAGCUGCUCUUGAGACAAAGCUGUUUGUACUUCCUAAAAGCUGUGAUGGAUAUCCAGGAAGGGAUUUCUGUAGUACUGAGGUAUCUCUUCUUUCCUCCAGACAACACCUGUUGCAAAGCUGAAGAAAAUGAUAUCUUUAGAAAACAAAACAAAAACUUAAGAUAGAAUAAAUAAAGGAGCUGUGAGAUUACUUUUCUCAUAGAUUUUUAAGUA
This is a non-coding RNA of Coturnix japonica (Japanese quail), 3765 nucleotides long. Lineage: Eukaryota; Metazoa; Chordata; Aves; Galliformes; Phasianidae. The record is from RefSeq and is a predicted model, not a curated record.